RNAcentral lists this ribosomal RNA (270 nucleotides) under uncultured bacterium. Its description in RNAcentral is "partial 16S ribosomal RNA". It matches the Rfam family "Bacterial small subunit ribosomal RNA", at positions 28 to 287 of the family's 1533-position model. The record is from RNAcentral.
GAUGAACGCUGGCGGCGUGCCUAAUACAUGCAAGUCGAGCGGAAAGGCUCCUACUCUGUGUUUAAAGUAUUGAACAUAGGGUUGGAGUACUCGAGCGGCGGACGGCUGAGUAACGCGUAGGAACGUACCCCCAAAGUGAGGGAUAAGCACCAGAAAUGGUGUCUAAUACCGCAUGUGGUCUUCGGAUUAAAGCUUCGGCGCUUUGGGAGCGGCCUGCGUAUGAUUAGCUUGUUGGUGAGGUAAUGGCUCACCAAGGCUUCGAUCAUUAGC